RNAcentral lists this ribosomal RNA (253 nucleotides) under uncultured bacterium. Its description in RNAcentral is "partial 16S ribosomal RNA". It matches the Rfam family "Bacterial small subunit ribosomal RNA", at positions 524 to 776 of the family's 1533-position model. The record is from RNAcentral.
UACGUAGGUGACAAGCGUUGUCCGGAUUUACUGGGCGUAAAGAGCGCGCAGGCGGUCGUUCAAGUCGAGUGUGAAAGCUCCCGGCUCAACUGGGGAGGGUCAUUCGAUACUGAUCGACUCGAAGGCAGGAGAGGGAAGUGGAAUUCCCGGUGUAGUGGUGAAAUGCGUAGAUAUCGGGAGGAACACCAGUGGCGAAGGCGACUUCCUGGCCUGUUCUUGACGCUGAGGCGCGAAAGCUAGGGGAGCAAACGGG